AUUCAUUUAAAGCCUGACCCUCAACAAGCCUAACUCCCAAGCCUCCUUCAAAUUUAAAGACUUUGGAUAACAUGCUAUUGCCUCUACACACUCUCUGAGACACUCUAGAAACUGCAGAGAUUUGUACAGCAUUUAUUGGCUGCACAGAACGCAGCAGAGGACGCCGGACAAUGAUGCGCUCCUGGUCCCGGGACCUGGCUGUCUGGCAGAGAGACGGGCAAGGGAGGAAAUCAUCUCGAAUCUCACAGCAAGUGGAGAAAUGUCCAGAGUUUGCUCAAUGAUAUAUUUCAAAGAUCACCAACAGGUGCUGCAGGCAGAAGCGACAACUGAGUCCUGUAAAGAAGACAAGAUUCAGCAGGGGAAGGAAGG
RNAcentral lists this long non-coding RNA (369 nucleotides) under Ictidomys tridecemlineatus (thirteen-lined ground squirrel). RNAcentral's name for it is "lncRNA (ENSSTOG00000032337.1)". Lineage: Eukaryota; Metazoa; Chordata; Mammalia; Rodentia; Sciuridae. The record is from RNAcentral.